CUUGGCUCCUCCGCCUCAGAGCCAGGUGCAAGUUGAUAAAAGAAUUCUGGAAAUUGAAGGCCAAGGAAGAGUGACUCAAAAAUAAGAAGCAGGCUGAAAAAUGAGAUGAGGAGACCGAGGCUCGGAGAGGCUUAUGCAUUUGCCCAAGACUCUACAACUCCACAACUUAACAGGCAAUUGCAUCUAGCAUAUAAUGUGUUGGUUAUCCCCAGAACACAGAGCAGUGCAUCUCCACAGCGAGAAUUCCAGAACAGCAUCUCAAAGCUGCUGAAGAGAGACCUGUUGUAGGAUGUGUACU
This 298-nucleotide long non-coding RNA is filed under the name Homo sapiens (human). RNAcentral's name for it is "HSALNT0366310". Lineage: Eukaryota; Metazoa; Chordata; Mammalia; Primates; Hominidae. The record is from RNAcentral.